RNAcentral lists this ribosomal RNA (253 nucleotides) under uncultured bacterium. RNAcentral describes it as "partial 16S ribosomal RNA". It matches the Rfam family "Bacterial small subunit ribosomal RNA", at positions 524 to 776 of the family's 1533-position model. The record is from RNAcentral.
UACGGAGGGGGCUAGCGUUGUUCGGAAUUACUGGGCGUAAAGCGCACGUAGGCGGACCAUCAAGUUGGGGGUGAAAUCCCGGGGCUCAACCCCGGAACUGCCUCCAAAACUGCUGGUCUGGAGGUCGAGAGAGGUGAGUGGAAUUCCGAGUGUAGAGGUGAAAUUCGUAGAUAUUCGGAGGAACACCAGUGGCGAAGGCUGCUCACUGGCUCGAUACUGACGCUGAGGUGCGAAAGCGUGGGGAGCAAACAGG